This is a long non-coding RNA of Triticum urartu, 3203 nucleotides long. RefSeq lists it as uncharacterized. Lineage: Eukaryota; Viridiplantae; Streptophyta; Magnoliopsida; Poales; Poaceae. The record is from RefSeq and is a predicted model, not a curated record.
AUUCCCGUGGGAGCCGGUAGAAAAAACAAAAAAAACUGCGUGACAAAACCUAAUCCUUCCCACGAUCACACCCCACCCAUUUAUCCUCUGCCGCCGUUCCCCACGGACGCCAUGGCUGUCGCAGCCUCCCGAUCUGCGACGCCGCCUACCACAGUCUCCACUCGCGCUGCGAUGUCCGCGGUCUCCACUCAGAUCAAUCCGCCGUUGACCCCGUAUCCUCCCUCCCGAUGGGAUCCGGCCUCCACCACUGUCCACGGGGCAACCGGAUGUCGGGAUCCACCACUCCUCGGCCGCCGAUUAGCCUCCAUGACCGCGCCUCGCCAAUGCUUGCUUCCCCGCAUCCUGCCCUUCAUCGAUAUGGACUCAUGCUCCUCGACCCCAUAGUGCCGUGCUGGACGCGUGCUCCACAGCUGCACAUCCCCUCCUCGUCGAGCCCUGGCGCAGACGCGUGGGUGUUGCUGUUCUGGUUGGUAAUCGUCGUUCAGUGAACAUUGUAUUUCCGAUGUUUUUCACUACUCAGCUUUUCUUUUUCACUGUCAGAUGUCCUACCUGUGCAGGCAUGAACACACCUAUCAGAUGUCCUACUCCUACCUGUGUAGGCACGAACACAUGUAUAUGAAUGAUUAAUGGCUGCUGCCUUGAACCAUUAGCACAUUAGUGUUGCCUGCGUUGAUCAAACGUUUGCCCUGUAUAGCCUGCUCAUCAUCGACGGCGGCGGCAAGAUAAGCAGGCUCGAGAUAAUCGCGCUGCUCCACUCGCUCGGGGUCUGUGCGCACGGGACGAGAUCAGCUUGGUGAUGGUAAAUGCACCGUCAAGUUCGACGGGGUCGCCCUCUCCUUCGCAGCUUCUCCUCUAACCUUGUCCCUCCUCCAUCUCCGUCGACCACUAGCAGGUCGCCGAGGCCUUCCACGCAUUUGACCAAGACAACAGCGGAUACAUCUGAACUGCCCAGCUCGUGUGCUCCAUGAUGGCAUUACAAGUGGCUGGAGGAAUGGUGUAUGCUCACAAGUUGUUUCACCCAGACAAGAAUCCCACAAAACUUAAUGUGGUCUGGAAGUUUCAGGGAUAAUACGAUCGACCCAAUAGUUAGCUUUGGGAUGCUUUUUGGGGUCGACUCAUGAAGAUGAUGGCUAGCUUGCACCAACAUUUGUAGCUUCUGUAUAAAUGAUUCAGAUAGUCUACAAGUAAGGGAAAUGAUUAUAGGGAAUAAAUAGCUCAACGACGGCGAUUCAAGCACCGAUGCGGGUGACCUAGCCAUUUGACGCCACCGACUCGACCUACGCAAGCGGCAUCACGGAGGGCAUGGAGCUCCUGGCCUCCCAAGGACGCCGCCGGGCUCGUCUCGUUAGCCCGCCAUGGUUGCAAUAUAGAAACCCUUAAUGACACGUGUCCCUUUUUCCCUCCGCGUUGCUUCUGUGUAUCAAAACCCUAGAAAACUCCUCUCCAAACACGCGAUCGAUUCCGUUCAUAUACAUCUGAUGGUUUAACAAAGAUGCAACAAAUUUCAUUUUGUAGUUUUGCCUGUGGAGGUGAUUGUCAUUGAAAAGCAUACUUUUUUGAAUGGAUGUUACUUGCCAACUCGGAUGCCUCUUUAUAUUUUUAAAAUUGUUCGUAAACCAUGGGUGCGACUUCAUUGUUUGCAAAACAUGGAUUAGACUUAUUUCGGCAUUGGUAGUGUGGAAAUUGACAUGGGAUGCACUAUACUGUUGCUUGUUCUUUGGCCAAUCCUAAACAUAAUUCUCUAUUUUUUAUGUGUCUCUAUGUUGAACUCGUACGGGGUUUCUUAGUAUGUAGGGAUAAUAAUAUGCAAAUUCAGUGAUACAUACGCAGAAUGUUUGUUUGUUCUCUUUAAGUAAUUAUACAGAUCAACAAUAUUAAAUAUUAGAUGACACAUUGGCCACAUCAUCCAGUAAAAGUGUUAACCCUAAUAAAUCAAGGACGGAUGCUGAUUCUAGACAUUGGUAGAAGCUAAUAAGUUACAUCCUUGAGUAAUACAAGAGAAUUAAUAUUUCGAUGUAGGUAAACCUAUCCAGCACGGUACACAAGCUCUUGUUAGUUGCACUAUAUUAGAAUUUUAACUUCCCAGAUUCGAUUUUUUUGUACCGAAGCUAAACCUAUCCAGCGUGUUUGACCUGAAGGAACUGACAUGGUUGUCAAAAAGACUAGAGGUAAAUUGCUUGGUACUUACACUGUUAUGUUACUGCUAUUAGUCAUUGCAUGUGAAAAAAUGUAAUGAAUAGACCCUUAUGUUUCAAGGUAUGUAUUUACUGAUAUUUUUUUAGUACUUUCUUGCGAGCGUGUAGUUUUAAAAAGAACAACACAAAGAACACAUAAUUCAUGACACAACUUUGGAUAUCAGUAUAAAAGGUUUUGCCGUGGAGUUUUAUGCGCCAUACUUUUGCGGCUUUUAUUGUGUCCUUUGUUAUAUUCUUUUUUAUUAGAACUAAAAGUUAGCAUGCCGGAAAUGUGGGUUUAAGCCCUGGCCGUCUUCAGUUGACAAAAUUACCCUACUUUUUGUAUCACAUUUGGAGGAUCUGUCAUUUUGAGAAAGUCAUUAUCUCAACUGCAACCAGGCAGUUUGGCCAAAGAUGUAGGAUGAUCUAGUUCUUUUGGACUCCAAUUUUUUGGAUUGGUACUUUUGAAUUUCUUUCGUAAACGAAUGUGGAGAAUGGGAGAGGAUCUGCAGUUAUAAAAAUUUGUGCAUGGAGUUUUUUUAAGAUCCUAUUGUUGUUUGUCUUUUUCCACUGUAACUGUUCACUAAUUAUGAAAUGAUUUUUCUUUCUUUUGGAUUGAUUGGACUGUCCGACAAGUGGAUUCGUGGGACUAUCUGAGAAGAUGAAACAACUAACAGUUGUUUUACAACAGGACAAUUGCUCCUGAGAGGUGGAACACUUGGAUGGUGGGUACAUUAAAGCAGAUCAAGUCUCUGAGGCCCUCAUGAUGACAUGGAGCAAUCUUAAAGGAGAGUCUACGAUAUGAAGUUUGGUCUUAAAAGGAGAGUCUACGAUAUGAAGUUUGUGUUUGAGUCAAAUACUAUUGGGCAGAUAGGUCUCCUUAUGUUGACAACACUGAAAUGGAGAAUGCAGGUCAUGUUGUCAUCCUCUUUGGAUAAAUUUGGUUAUGGAACCCCUUGAGGUCAAACACUAAGCUUGCGGUGUGCUGAGAACAAAAUGUUGCCAUUAUCAAAUGUUCCAUUAACAUUA